Molecule: ribosomal RNA, 402 nt
Filed under: uncultured bacterium
Lineage: Bacteria
Description: bacterial SSU rRNA
Rfam family: Bacterial small subunit ribosomal RNA
Source: RNAcentral
UGGGGAAUCUUGCACAAUGGGGGCAACCCUGAUGCAGCGACGCCGCGUGAGCGAUGAAGCCCUUCGGGGCGUAAAGCUCUUUCGACCGGAACGAUAAUGGCGGUACCGGGAGAAGAAGCUGCGGCUGACUACGUGCCAGCAGCCGCGGUAAUACGUAGGCAGCAAGCGUUGUUCGGAGUUACUGGGCGUAAAGAGUGCGUAGGCGGUUUUCUAAGUUCGGUGUGAAAUCUCCCGGCUUAACUGGGAGGGUGCGCCGAAGACUGGGAAGCUGGAGUGUGGGAAAGGCAGGCGGAAUUCCUGGUGUAGCGGUGAAAUGCGUAGAUAUCAGGAGGAACACCGGCGGUGUAGACGGCUUGCUAGACCAUAACUGACGCUGAGGCACGAAAGCGUGGGUAGCAAACA